GAUGAACGCUGGCGGCGUGCCUAAUACAUGCAAGUCGAGCGAACGGACGAGAAGCUUGCUUCUCUGAUGUUAGCGGCGGACGGGUGAGUAACACGUGGAUAACCUACCUAUAAGACUGGGAUAACUUCGGGAAACCGGAGCUAAUACCGGAUAAUAUUUUGGACCGCAUGGUUCAAAAGUGAAAGACGGUCUUGCUGUCACUUAUAGAUGGAUCCGCGCUGCAUUAGCUAGUUGGUAAGGUAACGGCUUACCAAGGCAACGAUGCAUAGCCGACCUGAGAAGGUGAUCGGCCACACUGGAACUGAGACACGGUCCAGACUCCUACGGGAGGCAGCAGUAGGGAAUCUUCCGCAAUGGGCGAAAGCCUGACGGAGCAACGCCGCGUGAGUGAUGAAGGUCUUCGGAUCGUAAAACUCUGUUAUUAGGGAAGAACAUAUGUGUAAGUAACUGUGCACAUCUUGACGGUACCUAAUCAGAAAGCCACGGCUAACUACGU
RNAcentral lists this ribosomal RNA (496 nucleotides) under uncultured bacterium. Its description in RNAcentral is "partial 16S ribosomal RNA". It matches the Rfam family "Bacterial small subunit ribosomal RNA", at positions 28 to 506 of the family's 1533-position model. The record is from RNAcentral.